CCUACGGGCGGCUGCAGUGGGGAAUAUUGGACAAUGGGCGCAAGCCUGAUCCAGCCAUGCCGCGUGUGUGAAGAAGGCCUUUUGGUUGUAAAGCACUUUAAGCGAGGAGGAGGCUACUUGGAUUAAUACUCUAGGAUAGUGGACGUUACUCGCAGAAUAAGCACCGGCUAACUCUGUGCCAGCAGCCGCGGUAAUACAGAGGGUGCAAGCGUUAAUCGGAUUUACUGGGCGCAAAGCGUGCGUAGGCGGCCUCUUAAGUCGGAUGUGAAAUCCCUGAGCUUAACUUAGGAAUUGCAUUCGAUACUGGGAAGCUAGAGUAUGGGAGAGGAUGGUAGAAUUCCAGGUGUAGCGGUGAAAUGCGUAGAGAUCUGGAGGAAUACCGAUGGCGAAGGCAGCCAUCUGGCCUAAUACUGACGCUGAGGUACGAAAGCAUGGGGAGCAAACAGGAUUAGAUACCCCUGUAGUC
RNAcentral lists this ribosomal RNA (466 nucleotides) under uncultured Acinetobacter sp. RNAcentral describes it as "bacterial SSU rRNA". It matches the Rfam family "Bacterial small subunit ribosomal RNA", at positions 338 to 795 of the family's 1533-position model. The record is from RNAcentral. Lineage: Bacteria; Pseudomonadati; Pseudomonadota; Gammaproteobacteria; Moraxellales; Moraxellaceae.